RNAcentral lists this ribosomal RNA (253 nucleotides) under Roseburia hominis A2-183. Its description in RNAcentral is "partial 16S ribosomal RNA". It matches the Rfam family "Bacterial small subunit ribosomal RNA", at positions 524 to 776 of the family's 1533-position model. Lineage: Bacteria; Bacillati; Bacillota; Clostridia; Lachnospirales; Lachnospiraceae. The record is from RNAcentral.
UACGUAUGGUGCAAGCGUUAUCCGGAUUUACUGGGCGUAAAGGGAGCGCAGGCGGUACGGCAAGUCUGAUGUGAAAUCCCGGGGCUCAACCCCGGUACUGCAUUGGAAACUGUCGGACUAGAGUGUCGGAGGGGUAAGUGGAAUUCCUAGUGUAGCGGUGAAAUGCGUAGAUAUUAGGAGGAACACCAGUGGCGAAGGCGGCUUACUGGACGAUUACUGACGCUGAGGCUCGAAAGCGUGGGGAGCAAACAGG